AGCACCUCCUGGCCGGAUUGUUCCCUACAGGCCUGGCUGCAUCACAGGGCGCUGGCUGCCAGGGUUACGUGCAUGUAUUCAGCUUCUGCCUUCAGAAAGGAGCGGCUGAAGUGCCUGAACAAAGAUUCGCUCCCAAUCUGGUCCACACCAAUAGUCAACAGCUUUUGCCUCUGAUCACAAAUGGCAACAAAAAAAAAGAAUGUCCCAGUGUGUUUUUUAUUGUUGUAGUUUGGUUUAGGUCACUCAAAAAGUAGGGAAUACUCUUUAGGAAAUAGCUGGAAAUUUAAAUAUUUAUCUGUAGCUUAGGCCAGAGGCUUAUUGAGUCAGCGGAUCAUUUUCAAUUGAGAAAUACUUGAUUUCUUCACAUGUUACUGACAUUAGGAGUGCUUUUCCUGUGGAGCAUGUGAAAGAACAAGUCACUCUUUGAAUAACAGAAUGAACCAAAUCAGAUUUUCAUUGCUAUCUACAGGCUGGAUUUGCUCGGCUUUGGCUUUUCCAUGAGUGGAACCAUGAUAGUGUCUUCCUGUUUCUCUCUCUUUUUCAGUCUCUCCCACUUAUUCUUCCAGUUUACACAGCUGUGUAUUUUUCUUGAGUUUUGAAGAACUUAGCAACUUCAAGUUUGGUGUGUAAAAUCUGGUUAAAAUUUGCUGAAUGUGGCCAGUUUCAUCACGUAUCUGCCACUUUGAAAUGCUCUUGUCUAGAAGGCAGAGAGGUUCCCAUUUUCAUGACAUCUUAGUCCCUGCUAUAUCUGGGCUGGUUUACAGUCUUGUUCUGCUACAUAUCCAUCCUAAGAGGAUGUUGUUCAAGAUUCAGUUCUGCAGAAUGGGAAAAAAGAAGCUGCAGAUGUGAGGGAAGCAUUGCUGGCCAUCCUCGUUUUGAGGAGAGGUGAUAGACUUGGGUAUAGGACAGUGAGGGACCUGGAAGAGAUGGUGGGAGCUGAAGAUGGUGUGGCCAUGUAGCUGUCCCAGGGGUCUCACUCAGGACCUUUGAAAAGGAUGAAGUGGAAGAUUCAUGGAAGGGCACAUUAUUGCUUUGGUUGCAACGGGAAAUCGCUGAGACGUGUGCUGUUUAGAAGGAUUUAAGAGCAACUCGAUAUACAUACAUAAGUGCUCUGUGAUACAAGCAGCUGUAUUCAUCUCACAAGUUAAGUGGAAAAAAAAAAUAAGUGCUACAAGGGUUGAUAACUUUCUUUCCUUCAAGCUAAAAAACAAUUUAUUGUUGGAACUUUAAUUCCCCUUUUCUUGCCAUAAGACCAAUCCUGUUGGCCAGGUGCAGUGUUGAAAGUGAUCUCUGCUGAGCAGCAGCGCUGGCCAGUGUCCAUGGACUUUAUUAAAUAAUGGAGUACCACAGCAAAAUGUGACACAAGUCCAAUGGUACUGACCCCAAAUAAAUAAAACACUGGUCUUUGACCACAGGGAAAAGCUUGAGCUGUUUUGCACACAAAUCUCUGGCCCUUGAGCAAGGAGGGGGAAGGGGAACUUAGUUCCCUUCAUAAUAUUAACCAGACCUGCCUCCUAGGCAGCACUGCUCUUGCCAUUUCAUUUUUAGGAGCGUUUUUCCUGCAAGAAUGGUUUUGCACUUGCCCCUGGUUAUGUGGAGGAGUCUUUCCCACAGAUGGACACCUUUCCCCACAGCUUGAGCCAUGCUUGGAGAAUGACAGCUCUCAAUUUGGACACACCUCUACCCAGGCCACUUGGCUAUGGCUCUUGAUCUUCUCUUUCUGACCAGCCACUGUUGAACUCAUACAGGUUCAUGGAGGCCACAAUGGAGAAGAAAACCUGUUGAAAGCCACUUUUAUCUGCGUUUUCCCUUAAGUGGUAUGUAGAAUAUUAGUUAGUCAUGUGUGAGGAGAAAAGCUAACAUCCCAUAUAACUAAGCAGUUGAAUGCUCUAUAUACCUGGGUAAACAGAGUGUAGAAGCUGCAAAUAACCACCUAUGCCUGUGUAGUAACGUCAAGUUUUCAACUUUCAUGGCCACUCCUCAGUGUUUGUGGAGCAUUCCUAGAGCAUAUGGUAACCUUUAGCCCAGCACAAACCUUCAGGAACAAGUGCAGAAACUCUGUUAAUCCCGUAUGGGGCAUAUGGUUAAUAUUACAACCUGACGGAGCUCUUUUCUUGUUUGUUUGUUUGCUUUUGUUGUUUGCUUUUGCUGUAAGUACAUCUGAAUCCAUCAGCUCUCGUUCAGUAUCAGCUUUAGGGUUGCUUGAAGAAUGGUGCUGAUACUGAAAUACAGCGCGUCUCAUCCACAAGACUGCUGCAAAUAGGGUUCUCAUUAUGCUGGAUGUAGGGUGAAUGUUUCAAAAGAAUCAGUUCCUGCCCAACAACGUGCUUGCCAUCCAAAUAAACACCACAGAACAAGGGGAGGGAGCAGAGGCUGCAAGCGGUCCUGCAGAGACUUGUGUGAGCUGACACAUCCUCAGUAGGACCAGAAGUCCUCGGCUGCAUUGCCUCCCUCACUUGCUGUGUUCCCAGGGUUGGUUGUUAUUUUAAAAGUGUGUGAACCAUCUGCAUGUAGAAAAGAACAAAUCAUAAACCAAUUGCAGUUUUCAGCCUUUCUGUUCUGUCAUAAGCAUUGUUUUAGGGCCCAAGAAGAGGGACAGAAAGAUCUGUUAAGCAAUAUCCCACGAGUGAUAUAAAUCUCCUGAGAAAAUAAAUAAUGUGGCUGCUUCAUCCCAUCUGAUUCCCGAAAGGCACCAUCCACAGUAGGAUGAUACAUGCUGGUGUCCUGAUGUGGUCCCCAGCGGGGCCGCUGUGCUGUGCUGGGUGGGUGGUGGAGCCCAGCUGUGAGCCUGGCAGGCUCUGGAGAGGGAAUGGGAGACAGCAGGUGGACUCAAGCUUAGACAGCCUUCCAUCACUGCAGCUUAUGGUAGAAAGGGGUAGCUGUAGGAAAACAGAGUCUUCCUCCUGAGCCUGUCAGAGGGUGUUAUUAUACCUGUGCCUCCCUAUUUUAUUUGCUAGUAUCACAUGAUAUUUCAUGAAUAUUUCAUGCCCAGGGCCUCAUCCAGCCUGGCCUUGAACACCUCCAGGGAUGGAGCAUCCACAACCUCUCUGGGCAACCUGUUCCAGCAACUCACCACUCUCAUCAUAUUCCAACUUGGCACAAGCCAAGGCAGAGGAACACAAAGGGCUCUGCCUUUUGUUACUUACUGCAGAAUGGAGCUAUGGUGACCAAAGCCAUCAGCAGUGGGUGGCAGCCAGGUGAUAGUUGGAGCUGCCCUCUGUCUGCAAAAAUACUUUGACUGGACUUUCUGCUUGUGGGUUCCUCAACUCUGUAAGCACAAAUUGGACUUGGUGAUCCUUGUGGAUCCUUCUCUACUUGGAGUAUUCUGUGGUUCUGUGAAUGAUCUUCUCAGCAUCCCCAUCAACCUGGUGAGUUUUAUCCCUAUUCAGCACAAGUGGGAGCUCUGAGUGCCUUGGAAAAUCAAGCUGUGGACUUUCAAAAUGGUGCACCCGAACAGCAAAUGACCCAAAGUUAAAGGACUUUAUAACAAGUCUGAAUUCUAGCAACUCUCCCCAAAUCUAUAGAAAAUUGGUAUGAAAUGAACCCUACUUCACGGCGCACAGAGACAAGGAGUUACAUGUGCAGAGAAAAAGUCACUCCCAAUAAUUUUAGUAGUGAAAAUCAGUGUUUUCUGAAAAUAUAUGUCUGUGAAUGUUUCCUUCACCAUUCACGGUAGUCAGCUUUUCAAGUGCAGACUGAAGCAUAUCUAGGAGAGGAACCAUAAAGAAGAGUAUCCCCAACAGCUGCCUACUCAUGAUAAAAGAUGGGCAUAGGUUUCUUUUCCUGUGACUUUUCUUACACCCCUGACAGAAGAGCAGGGCAACUGAUGGGAAAAGAUACAUUCAUCAUCUGAGUAGUUGCUGAAGGGGCAGAGAUUUGGUUAAUUGAAGAAAGACCCUUUUUUUUUUUUUU
This is a long non-coding RNA of Coturnix japonica (Japanese quail), 3912 nucleotides long. RefSeq lists it as uncharacterized. Lineage: Eukaryota; Metazoa; Chordata; Aves; Galliformes; Phasianidae. The record is from RefSeq and is a predicted model, not a curated record.